RNAcentral lists this ribosomal RNA (301 nucleotides) under uncultured bacterium. RNAcentral's name for it is "partial 16S ribosomal RNA". It matches the Rfam family "Bacterial small subunit ribosomal RNA", at positions 509 to 807 of the family's 1533-position model. The record is from RNAcentral.
CAGUCGCCGCGGGAAUGCGUAGGUGGCAAGCGUUAUCCGGAAUUAUUGGGCGUAAAGCGCGCGUAGGCGGUUUUUUAAGUCUGAUGUGAAAGCCCACGGCUCAACCGUGGAGGGUCAUUGGAAACUGGGAAACUUGAGUGCAGAAGAGGAGAGUGGAAUUCCACGUGUAGCGGUGAAAUGCGUAGAGAUGUGGAGGAACACCAGUGGCGAAGGCGACUCUCUGGUCUGUAACUGACGCUGAGGAGCGAAAGCGUGGGGAGCGAACAGGAUUAGAUACCCGAGUAGUCCCUGUCUCUUAUAC